This 492-nucleotide ribosomal RNA is filed under the name uncultured bacterium. Its description in RNAcentral is "partial 16S ribosomal RNA". It matches the Rfam family "Bacterial small subunit ribosomal RNA", at positions 28 to 507 of the family's 1533-position model. The record is from RNAcentral.
GAUGAACGCUAGCUACAGGCUUAACACAUGCAAGUCGAGGGGAAACGGCAUUAAGUGCUUGCACUUUUUGGACGUCGACCGGCGCACGGGUGAGUAACGCGUAUCCAACCUUCCCAUGACUAAGGGAUAACCUGCCGAAAGGCAGACUAAUACCUUAUGGUCUUCACUGACGGCAUCAGAUGUGAAGUAAAGAUUUAUCGGUUAUGGAUGGGGAUGCGUCUGAUUAGCUUGUUGGCGGGGUAACGGCCCACCAAGGCAACGAUCAGUAGGGGUUCUGAGAGGAGGGUCCCCCACAUUGGAACUGAGACACGGUCCAAACUCCUACGGGAGGCAGCAGUGAGGAAUAUUGGUCAAUGGGCGAGAGCCUGAACCAGCCAAGUAGCGUGCAGGAUGACGGCCCUAUGGGUUGUAAACUGCUUUUGUAUGGGGAUAAAGUCAAUCACGUGUGAUUGUUUGCAGGUACCAGACGAAUAAGGACCGGCUAAUUCCGUG